GUCAAUCAACAAAUGAUUGCCAUCCGGCCGACUCAUUACGCUCUGAUGAUUCACAAUGUGGAAGUGCUCGCACUACCUGCACCUGAGUCCAUUAGCAUUGCCAAUGCUGCUAAUUGGUUGUACACAGGUUCAGCCCAAGCGGGAGGGGAAGAUGCACAGUUUGACCAUGAUCUUUCAGGUGAGGACAUGGAAGAAGAUGAGAGGCAAGCUACUCACGGUAUUCCACCCCCACAUGAUUCGAUCCUAUAUGGUGAAGGCUCCUCUUUUAUGUCUCAGGACCAGUGGGGUUGAAUACAUACGGAGAUGGGAACUCUCUGCACCGAGCAGACCAGACAAGGUGCGGAAUUAGAUAGACAGAGUGUGGAACUGUUCCGGCAAGGGACAGUCAUGGAUGACAUGCAGGCCAUGAUGCAACGUCUGAUGUNAAAACCGAAAAGUAGUAAUAUUAACAAUGCUGAUUCACUUCUAUACCAAAAGUAUAUAUACUAUUGUAAAUCAACCUAAAGUAUAUGUAUAUAUUAAACUUAAAAAUAAAAAGUAUAUAUAUGAAAAAAACAAAUAUAUAUAUAUAUAUAUAACAAAACAAAAAGAAAUAUCUAUAUUUAAAUGAUCAUUUAAAACAGCUGCAAAUAAAAAGGAGAUCUAUAUAUAAAAAACAAAAAUUGAAAGUAUAAAACACAUAAAACUAAAACUAAAAGUUAUGACUAUUUAUAUCUACAUACAAUCACUACAAUCUCUAAAAACAGCAAGAUAUAUAUAUUGGAUACUAAUAUAUUUUAUAUGUAAAAAAACAAAAGAAAGCAAGAGUUAAAAGAGAACCAAGGUGGAAAACGGUUACUUCAUGGAGAUAUGCAACAUAUACUGUGGAUUGAGGUGUCAUGGUGUGAGUAUGGAUUUGGUGUUAAUGGGUUUUGUGUGAAAUUGAGAGAAAAACUUAAGAUAAAUGAAACUGAUGAAAAUGAAAGAGAGUUUUUUUUAUUGGGGACAGGGAGAAGCUGCGCCGCUGUGGCCUCAGACCUUUUUUCCUUUUGCUGGAGUCCUCUGUGACAUAAUAAUGGGUUUCCUCAUAAUUCAUUUCCACAAUACCCUUCUGAUGUCUAAGUAGAUAAACUGAUUCAAAUUAUAAACCAAAUAAAAUUGACCAUUUUUAAAUGGAUAAAGUAUAAAAUUAAAAGAAUGCAUAACUAAUUCUAUUUUUUUUGACGCUUUUGACUAAAAAAUUAAAAAUAAAAAAAAAAAACAAAGCUUAAAAAUGCGCUGAAAAAUAAAUUGACUGCACCAAAAUGAUCAGUGUGAAAUAAACUAAUUGAAAAAUACAGCGUUUCUUUCUCAUUUUUAAAUUAAAUUUUGGAUUGGUUAAACAGACUUGAGCGCUGAUCAAAAAGUGGGCGAGAAAUUACGUGCCCGAAAUAAAUCGAGAUAAGACCAAGAUAAAGCUACGCGACUAACGUAGACUUAAUUAAAAUUGAUGUCUCAGAAGCUUGGAUUUGGAAAAUUUCUCUGCCACUGAAUUUUGAAUCCCCGCCCCCCCCACCCCCGUUGAUUAAUUCAACUCCCCCCGGUUUUGGUCCGUAGAUCUCCGAAAAAAUUAUUUCGACUGAUAUUUUAAGGCAACUAUCGGUAUGAAAUAUCCUGCAUGGUAUGCAUGGAAACAUGCAUAGCUAUGGAGAAAAUGUAUUGAAAUCAAAAGCGUUCAAUCAUUGUUACAGAGGGUCAUUAGACAAUGGGGGGGGGGGGGGGGUAUAAAAAAGGAGGGAGAAAAAGAAAAAAAAGGGGGACAAAAGAGUCAAAAAAAAAUCGUAAAACCCCCAUGUAACGGUUUCACAGAGCCAUUAUUCAUUGAUCAUCAUCACGAAACAAGGACAAGAUUUGCAGUUAUUCAUUGACAGACACAAAGUUAAUUUCAUCGGCGGAUUUGCAUGCUUAAAGCGAACACGACACUCGACGACCACAACACGCGCGGGUGCAAGUCAUGAGGAACGCAAGUUCCGACAGCGAAGUAUCGAUGAGGCGUUGUCAGAUCAUCCAUUUCCUUUUGUUCAUAACUGCGGUUAUGAUUGGCUGCAAUUGCAGAGAUGUGCAAUAAGACUAAGUUGGGUGGAAAUCUUGAAAGAGAAGGCAAGUGUGCCAUAAGUAUGAGAUUUAUACUUAAUAGAAAAUAUUUGUUUAUUUAUUUCUUUUUAUAUAUAUGGAUAAUAAAUUUAUAUAAUGAGUAGAAGAAUUAAUAUGAUAAAUUAUAUUAUGAAUUAUAUGAUAUUAUUUUUAUUACAAUAAGAUGUCAAAGUUUUUGCUAUUUGGCUCCUUCUUUUUUUGAUUCUGUGAUCCGUUUAGUAUUUUUUUUGCUAAAUUAGGGAUAUGAGAGGAUAAAUUUGGAGGUAUGAACAUAUUAGUAGUUCCAUAAAUGAUUAUAUUAUGUAUACCUCCACAAAGUAUGUGUAUAUUUGUUUUUUUUUUUUUUUUUUUUUUUCUUUUUUUUUUUUGUUAUUUUUGCCCAUGACAUUUAUAAAAUAGAGUAAGUAUAUCUAAAUCUAUCAUUUUUCAUAUUCAUGACUGUACUUUCGUCGGUUUCAAAACCUUGUUACUUUUUUUUUUUUUUUUAUUUUUUCUUUCAAUUUUUUUUUGUUAUGCUCUCAUUUUUUUCUUUUUUUUCCUUCUUUGUUUUACCUUCUAUAUGCCUGUAAUUAUUCUUCCUAUUUUUAAUUAUAUUUUAUCUUUUUUUUUUUUUUGUUUUUUUUUUUUAGUGUGCUCCCUUGGCUUGUGUGGUGAUUCCUGGUCACUCUUGGUCCCGAGGUUGCACUCACGAGGAGUAUCCAACAUGAUUGCACUGAGUGUGUAUGGCUGGCAGGUAUGUACCACAGAGAGGCUGAGUGAGAUCGAGGUGUGGCUAUGCAUACUGGGUUGCCUGUGAGUGUACAGCUACCUAACCCUGAGAGAUAUUGCAAUAGCAGCGCUGUCGGAAAUGAGCGUGAUCUAGAUGACAUCUACACGCGUUGCUCUUCACGUAUCGCCACCACUGCAGACACACUGCACAUCGCACUCAAAACUUGCCUGAAUCGGAGAGACCUGAACUCGAUUGGAAAGGAAGAACACAAAAUGGUGAAAGACUAGGUUGCAUUGUGGAAAACGAAUUCGGGGGUGACCUUUGUUUGGACUCAAUACAUCAUUGAGGACAAGCAAUGAGACAAGUUUGGGUUGGUGAUCGGUCACCAUUUCCAUUAAAUCCCCGGCCGCUAAUCGACAUAUUUUCAUCACCUUGGUAAGAUUUAUGUUUGUUUUAGUUGCAUUUGAGUCAAUUAGCAAUGUUUUGUUGGUUUGGUAUUGAUUGCAUUCGAUUCCAAGUUAUGUCAAAAAGAUCUCAUUUAUGCUUCGUUUGGUAGUGUCAUGUUACAGUUUAAAGCAAGAAUGGUGAAGUUCUGGACACUCUGAAGGACAAAAAUAGAAAAACAGUAGUCAACACCGGCACCGUGUGCCACAACACUGCCGCGUGUGUUGAUCAAGCGAGCAGAGAGGGAGCAGAAAACAGAGAUCGACACACGGGCACCCGUGUGCCACCACACCGGCCGUGUGAUUAAAACAGUGCAUUAACACGGGCACCCGUGUGUAGGGACACGGCCCGUGUUGUUGCCACUGCUAACUUAUGCUGAAAAUAAUAAUGAUGAAGAACAACGACGGCCACCCGUGUGCCACCACACGGCACCCGUGUGCCACCACACGGCCGUGUUGAUUGGACGCAGCUUGGAAAACUAAUUUUUGCUGUGUGAACCGAUUCUGCUCAUUAAGGGUAGUUUGGACCUUUAGCUUGGAAGAGAGUCAUCUGAAGCUUAUAAGAAGGCUUGGAAGAGAAAGAAGAGGACACCUUUUGACAGACGAACGAAAGCAUUGCAUUGGAGAAGAUCGUGAAUACGACGGAUUUGAAGACGGCGGAUUCAAGGGUAUCAACCAUUGAAGAUCAAACUCUCCUAAUUCUUUGUAAUGUCUGAUCUUUACUUUAUGAGUUCUUUAAGUACUAUGGAGGCUAAACCCCCUGAUGCUAGGGGGUGGUCCUGAUGUUAUCGCAUGCUAUGAAUUUGACCAAUGAUUUCUUGAUUACUAUGUUACGUUUUCAAUUCAAUUGGUGAUGUUAUUAUGCUUUUGUAUCGGACAAAUACAAAUUGAUCUAUGACUUCCAAUAACAGGAUUGUGAUUGGUAGGGUUUUCACACAAUUGGGUUUAUGAUGCAUCAUCUAGCACUAGUAACUUUCGUAAAUCACCGUAAACCUUGAUAUUUUGUAUGAUUAAAACCAAUGAUUAAUUGAAUGGACAUUUGAGUAGAAUUGGUAGUUUAAUAUUUCUUCCUUAAGGACUUAAGUAAAGAACAUUCUGAGUUAGGUGAUGAAUGUUCAUAUGUUAUAAGGAAAUCGGGACUGAAUUCAUAAUCGGUUAACUCAACCACUCACCCUAGCAUCUUUUAUCUUAAUCAAUUGUUUUUACUAUUUUUGUGUUUACUAUUAUAAAAUUCAAAACAAAAAAAAGAAAAAAAUAAACACAAAAAAAACGAAUUCCAAAACACCAACUAAACCAAGACCAUUACUUUUUUUCGUUCUGAUUAGAAUUCAAUAUUAAUAAGUAUUUCCUACGCAAUCCUUGAGAUCGAUACUUGGAAAUAAAACUCCUUAUUACUACAUCGGUAAAAAUAGUACACUUGCUAUUUUUCCGAUCACGUGGUCAUUACUGGUUUUGAUCAAGUGGCCAUAAAAACAACUUAAACAACAACUUCAAGCCUUGUUUCAGAUAAAAGAUUCUGGUUGUCAACAUUAUUUCUUGGGUUUUGAGGUUUAUUCUAAUUCCAAUGGUAUUUUUCUUCAUUAGCACAAGUAUACUACAUAUCUGAUCUCCUUGGUGGGUCUUCAAUCUGCUGCCCCGGUGGAUACUCCUUUUGAGGUUAACGUCAAAUAUCAUUGUGAUAAGGGUGAUCUUUUGCCCGAUCCACUUUUGUAUCGUUAACUAGUGGGGAGUCUUAAUUAUAUAACAAUUACUCGCCUUGACAUCUUGUUUGCAGUCCAACCGGCCAAUUAAUUUAUGCACACUCCUCGACACCUUCAUUUGGCUGAUGUUCCUCGCAUCAUUCGUUACUUGAAAUGUAGCUCUCAUCGUGGCCUCUUCUUUCCUUUGGUUGGAAAUAAUGGCGUUGGUUGGGAAGAUUAUUCUGAUAUUAGAUGAUCUGUCACCGAUUGGUGCAUGUUUCUUAGUUAUGCAUUAAUUUCUUGAAAAAGUAAAAAAAAACACAAGCACGAGUCUCCAAGUUCUCCACUGAAUCUAAAUAUCGAACUAUUUCAACAACAUGUUCGACAAUUAUUUGGCUUCGUGGUCUUCUAGCUAAGCUAGGUUUCUCUCAGCAAACAUCAACACCUCUCUAUGUUGAGAAUACUAAUGUUAUUCAAAUUGUUGUGAAUCCAGUUUUUCUUGAACGGACUAAGCAUAUCAAGAUGGAUUGUCAUUCUAUCCUAGAAGCCUUUGAGAAGCACAUUAUAUCUCUUAUGCAUGUCACCUUACAACUUCAACUUGUCGAUAUAUCCUUUAAGGCAUUUCCUCGUCCUCAACAUCAAUUUCUCGUUAGCAAAUUGAUGUUGCUUGACCAACCACAUCAAUUUAAGGGGAUGUCAAUAAGAAAAUAUAAUAUUAUUAGUUUUCUGUUAUAUAUGUAUAACUUUAGAAGUUACUAAUUGUAUUUAAUUAAAACUUAAAUCAAAGUAUUUGUAAUUAGUUGUGAUAAUUAUGUAAAUAUUUGUAAUUAUUAAGUUUGUUUUAUUUA
RNAcentral lists this long non-coding RNA (5791 nucleotides) under Lathyrus oleraceus (garden pea). RNAcentral describes it as "Pisum sativum (pea) long non-coding RNA (PSAT_LNC008775)". The record is from RNAcentral. Lineage: Eukaryota; Viridiplantae; Streptophyta; Magnoliopsida; Fabales; Fabaceae.